Neltuma alba is the source of this 369-nucleotide long non-coding RNA. RefSeq lists it as uncharacterized. The transcript has 2 exons. Lineage: Eukaryota; Viridiplantae; Streptophyta; Magnoliopsida; Fabales; Fabaceae. The record is from RefSeq and is a predicted model, not a curated record.
UCUGAGAAAUAAGGAAUCAUGGAAAAUACUUCUUACAAGCUAGCUCUCAUGCUUGCCCUUCUUGCUGCAUCUGCGUGUCUUGGGGUUUCGAGAGUAGAAGGAAAUAGUAAGAAGAAUGGAGAAGGCAUUGGUGGAAUUUUAGCACAGAAGUGCAGCGUGUUUGGGGAUUGCAUCCAUUUAGUGUGCCAAGAGCCUUGUAUUCAAGUUGCGUGCUGGAAUGGCGAGUGUGUUUGCACCUGUGGCCCUGCUGACCACCCCAAAUUUCACCUCUCUUAAUUUACUCUUUCUGCCUCCUGCCUUCUAAUUAAUAAUUAACUGGCACCUAAAUAAAGUACCAUUUCUAUCAAAUAAAAUCUUUGCUUCCUAUUA